GACAGAGGGGGCAAGCGUUGUCCGGAAUCAUUGGGCGUAAAGAGCGUGUAGGCGGCUCGAUAAGUCUGCUGUGAAAGUCCAGGGCUCAACCCUGGAAGGCCGGUGGAAACUGUCGGGCUAGAGUCCGGAAGAGGCGAGUGGAAUUCCCGGUGUAGCGGUGAAAUGCGCAGAUAUCGGGAGGAACACCAAUGGCGAAGGCAGCUCGCUGGGACGGUACUGACGCUGAGACGCGAAAGCGUGGGGAGCAAACAGG
RNAcentral lists this ribosomal RNA (253 nucleotides) under uncultured bacterium. RNAcentral describes it as "partial 16S ribosomal RNA". It matches the Rfam family "Bacterial small subunit ribosomal RNA", at positions 524 to 776 of the family's 1533-position model. The record is from RNAcentral.